AGAAUCAACGCUGGCGGCGCGCUUAACACAUGCAAGUCGAGCGAGAAAGGGAGCAAUCCUGAGUAAAGCGGCGCACGGGUGAGUAACACGUGGAUCAUCUACCCUAUGGUGGGGAAUAACCUUGGGAAACUGAGGCUAAUACCGCAUAAGUUCGAGAGAAGAAAGCCGAAAGGCGCCAUUGGAGGAGUCCGCGGCCGAUUAGCUAGUUGGUGGGGUAAGAGCUCACCAGGGCGAUGAUCGGUAGCCGGCCUGAGAGGGCACACGGCCACACUGGCACUGAAACACAGGCCAGACUCCUACGGGAGGCAGCAGUGGGGAAUCUUGCACAAUGGGGGAAACCCUGAUGCAGCGACGCCGCGCGAGUGAUGAAGCCCUUCGGGGUGUAAAGCUCUUUCGGCAGGGACGAUAAUGACGGUACCUGCAGAAGAAGCUGCGGCUAACUACGUGCCAGCAGCCGCGGUAAUACGUAGGCAGCAAGCGUUGUUCGGAAUUACUGGGCGUAAAGAGUGCGUAGGCGGUUUGGCAAGUUUGGUGUGAAAUCUCCCGGCUUAACUGGGAGGGUGCGCCGAAAACUGCCAGGCUAGAGUGUGGGAGAGGAAAGUGGAAUUCCUGGUGUAGCGGUGAAAUGCGUAGAUAUUGGGAGGAACACCAGUGGCGAAGGCGACUUUCUGGACUGUGUCUGACGCUGAGGCGCGAAAGCUAGGGAAGUGAACGGGAUUAGAUACCCCGGUAAUCCUAGCCGUAAACGA
RNAcentral lists this ribosomal RNA (749 nucleotides) under uncultured bacterium. RNAcentral describes it as "bacterial SSU rRNA". It matches the Rfam family "Bacterial small subunit ribosomal RNA", at positions 26 to 809 of the family's 1533-position model. The record is from RNAcentral.